UUGGGUUAGGUUGGGGUUGGCCAGGAAAUGUACCAGUUGGGGCAGCAGUAGGCGCUUGUUGUUGAGCUACUUGUGAUAUUUGCAUUUCCAGCAUUUUGUUAUGAGUAGCCAGGGCAUCUACUUUACUUGCUAGUUGUUUAAUUUGUUCGCCAGUGUGUACAUUCUGGUUUAAGAAAUCUUUAUGGUUUGCUGUUGAGAAGCUAUAAAGUUUCCAUCAUGAUUUCCAAGUUGGAUUUCCUAGGGGGCGUUAUGUUAGAUGUAGAUGGGGUCGGCUUCUAAUAUCCCGGAGGUAUAGCUGGGGCUUGAUUUGGAGAUUGUCCAGGUGCGUAUAGAGCAUUAUUACUCUUAUAUGAAAAAUUGGGAUGAUUCUUCCAAUUUGA
Molecule: long non-coding RNA, 380 nt
Filed under: Lathyrus oleraceus (garden pea)
Lineage: Eukaryota; Viridiplantae; Streptophyta; Magnoliopsida; Fabales; Fabaceae
Description: Pisum sativum (pea) long non-coding RNA (PSAT_LNC033600)
Source: RNAcentral